UACGUAGGGUGCGAGCGUUAAUCGGAAUUACUGGGCGUAAAGCGUGCGCAGGCGGUUUUGCAAGCCAGAGGUGAAAUCCCCGGGCUUAACCUGGGAAUGGCCUUUGUGACUGCACGGCUAGAGUGUGUCAGAGGGGGGUAGAAUUCCACGUGUAGCAGUGAAAUGCGUAGAGAUGUGGAGGAAUACCGAUGGCGAAGGCAGCCCCCUGGGAUAACACUGACGCUCAUGCACGAAAGCGUGGGGAGCAAACAGG
RNAcentral lists this ribosomal RNA (253 nucleotides) under uncultured bacterium. RNAcentral describes it as "partial 16S ribosomal RNA". It matches the Rfam family "Bacterial small subunit ribosomal RNA", at positions 524 to 776 of the family's 1533-position model. The record is from RNAcentral.